RNAcentral lists this long non-coding RNA (1023 nucleotides) under Heterocephalus glaber (naked mole-rat). RNAcentral describes it as "lncRNA (ENSHGLG00100037177.1)". The record is from RNAcentral. Lineage: Eukaryota; Metazoa; Chordata; Mammalia; Rodentia; Bathyergidae.
GUUCUGUGCAGCUGGGGCAGGUUGUGUUGCUAGGAGAACAAUGACUCUUGCUUCCAGCAAGAGAGGUGACUCUGGCAGCAUUACCAGGGGCACACAGGUGGGCGUUGCUUUUCAUUCCCCAGCAAGAACAGACUCCUCCCCAGAGGAGCCCAGCUGGCCAAGCUGACGGGUGGGCCCAGCACUGUCCCGCUCCAAGACCACCUUCUUCCUCCUGCAGCUGCCAUUCUGGCGAGACAGGACAUUAUCUGCUGCAGGAUUUGAAGCAAAACCUGUGGAAUAUUGCUCUGGGCCUGUUUUCUAAGAGAAUGCCCAGAGGAGUAUAAAUUCAAAUUCCCGCCAGAGAAGCCUCUGCUUCAGGAGUAGGUAGCAGAAAAAUACUGUAUGUUUGUCACUCAGAUUUUAUUUCCCCCUUAUCUACCUGGAAAAGCCAAUUUCUGAACUUUGGCCACAGUAAGGUGGGGCCAUGGGACUGAGCUUCUGGCCUUGGGAAAGUGGGCUAAAGGACAGACCUGCCAUGCGAUCCUCCGUGCUCCCUGUCUGCCAGCUGGACACAGACGACUGGGGAGGGGGCAGAACUCCCUGGACCAUGAGAUGGUACAGUAGGGGGAUGGAGCCUGGAUGCCAAUGGCUUUGUGACAUGAACAGCCCUGCCCUGGACCCGUAUGGGUCUAUGAGUGAGAAGCCAGCCUUGUUUGAGUUGAGCUACUGGGCUACUGAGCAUAGGGCUGCUUUUAACAGGCUGCUUUGGUUAAUAAGGGCAUGCAUGAGGGGCGUGAUGAGAUCAUUUUCAAGGGUAGUGGGGGGUGAUGGUGGGAUUCGGCAGGGGUGUUUCCCUGAGGAGGUGGACAGGAGGCUCCUGGGCAGGAGUGGGGUGUAAUAUGUUACCAUAAACUGAGGAAAGGGAGCCAGUGUGUGUGCACAUGUACGUGUGUGUGUGUGUGUGGGGGGGGGGUCAGGCCAAACAGCUCUGUGCAGCCCUUUCUAAACUGAAAUUAAUGAAUAAAGGUUAAUUUUUUUGUGCAC